RNAcentral lists this ribosomal RNA (253 nucleotides) under uncultured bacterium. RNAcentral describes it as "partial 16S ribosomal RNA". It matches the Rfam family "Bacterial small subunit ribosomal RNA", at positions 524 to 776 of the family's 1533-position model. The record is from RNAcentral.
GACAGGGGGCUCGAGCGUUAAUCGGAAUCAUUGGGCUUAAAGGGUGCGUAGGCGGGUUGCUAAGUGUUCUGUGAAAUCCCCCGGCUCAACCGGGGAAUCGCAGGGCAUACUGGCAGCCUUGAGGCAUGUAGGGGCGGACGGAACUGUAGGUGGAGCGGUGAAAUGCGUAGAUAUCAGGAGGAACACCGAUGGCGAAGGCAGCUCGCUGGGACGGUACUGACGCUGAGGCGCGAAAGCGUGGGGAGCAAACAGG